AUUGAACGCUGGCGGCAGGCCUAACACAUGCAAGUCGAACGGUAACAGGAAGCAGCUUGCUGCUUCGCUGACGAGUGGCGGACGGGUGAGUAAUGUCUGGGAAACUGCCUGAUGGAGGGGGAUAACUACUGGAAACGGUAGCUAAUACCGCAUAACGUCGCAAGACCAAAGAGGGGGACCUUAGGGCCUCUUGCCAUCGGAUGUGCCCAGAUGGGAUUAGCUAGUAGGUGGGGUAACGGCUCACCUAGGCGACGAUCCCUAGCUGGUCUGAGAGGAUGACCAGCCACACUGGAACUGAGACACGGUCCAGACUCCUACGGGAGGCAGCAGUGGGGAAUAUUGCACAAUGGGCGCAAGCCUGACGCAGCCAUGCCGCGUGUAUGAAGAAGGCCUUCGGGUUGUAAAGUACUUUCAGCGGGGAGGAAGGGAGUAAAGUUAAUACCUUUGCUCAUUGACGUUACCCGCAGAAGAAGCGCCGGCUAACUCCGUG
This 490-nucleotide ribosomal RNA is filed under the name uncultured bacterium. RNAcentral's name for it is "partial 16S ribosomal RNA". It matches the Rfam family "Bacterial small subunit ribosomal RNA", at positions 30 to 507 of the family's 1533-position model. The record is from RNAcentral.